Molecule: non-coding RNA, 73 nt
Organism: Trichonephila clavipes
Lineage: Eukaryota; Metazoa; Arthropoda; Arachnida; Araneae; Nephilidae
Source: the annotation of a GenBank genome assembly
AUCCCUGUAACACAAUGGAUAGUGCGUUGGACUUCUCAUCCAAGGGUCGUCGUUUCGAAACCUACCGGGGAUG